Molecule: ribosomal RNA, 497 nt
Filed under: uncultured bacterium
Lineage: Bacteria
Description: partial 16S ribosomal RNA
Rfam family: Bacterial small subunit ribosomal RNA
Source: RNAcentral
GAUGAACGCUGGCGGCGUGCCUAAUACAUGCAAGUCGAGCGAACAGACGAGGAGCUUGCUCCUCUGACGUUAGCGGCGGACGGGAGAGUAACACGUGGUUAACCUACCUAUAAGACUGGGAUAACUUCGGGAAACCGGUGCUAAUACCGGAUCAUAUAUUGAACCGCAGGGUUCAAUAGUUAAAGACGGUUUUGCUGUCCCUUAUAGAUGGAUCCGCGCCGCAUGAGUGAGUUGGUAAGGUAACGGCUUACCAAAGCCACGAUGCGUAGCCGACCUGAGAGCGUGAUCGGCCACACUGGAACUGACACGCGGUCCAGACUCCUACAGGAGGCAGCAGUACCUAAUCGUCCCCGCUGGGCGAAAUCCUGACGGAGCAACGCCGCGUGAAUGAAGAAGGUCCUCGUGUCGUAUAACUCUCUUAUUGGUGAAGAACAAUUGUGUAAGUAACGAUGCUCGUCGUGACGGUACCUAAACAAAAAGCCCCGGCUAACUACGUG